UCCAGACUCCUACGGGAGGCAGCAGUGGGGGAUAUUGCACAAUGGGGGGAACCCUGAUGCAGCGACGCCGCGUGGGUGAAGGAGCGUUUCGGCGCGUAAAGCCCUCUCGGCAGGGAAGAAGGAGGACGGUACCUGACUAAGAAGCCCCGGCUAACUACGUGCCAGCAGCCGCGGUAAUACGUAGGGGGCAAGCGUUAUCCGGAUUUACUGGGUGUAAAGGGGGCGCAGACGGCAGCGCAAGCCAGGAGUGAAAGCCCGGGGCCCAACCCCGGGACUGCUCUUGGAACUGCGUGGCUGGAGUGCAGGAGGGGCAGGCGGAAUUCCUGGUGUAGCGGUGAAAUGCGUAGAUAUCAGGAGGAACACCGGUGGCGAAGGCGGCCUGCUGGACUGCAACUGACGUUGAGGCCCGAAAGCGUGGGGAGCAAACAGGAUUAGAUACCCCAGUAA
This 447-nucleotide ribosomal RNA is filed under the name uncultured bacterium. Its description in RNAcentral is "partial 16S ribosomal RNA". It matches the Rfam family "Bacterial small subunit ribosomal RNA", at positions 330 to 793 of the family's 1533-position model. The record is from RNAcentral.